RNAcentral lists this non-coding RNA (59 nucleotides) under Corallococcus coralloides. The record is from RNAcentral. RNAcentral also lists the same sequence under 1 other name. Lineage: Bacteria; Pseudomonadati; Myxococcota; Myxococcia; Myxococcales; Myxococcaceae.
GUGGGGCUUCCGAGCCCGGACGAGGUGCGCCGUACCCGGUCACGACAAGACGACGCCUU